Pipra filicauda (Wire-tailed manakin) is the source of this 497-nucleotide long non-coding RNA. RefSeq lists it as uncharacterized. The transcript has 5 exons. NCBI's taxonomy places the organism in Eukaryota, Metazoa, Chordata, Aves, Passeriformes, Pipridae. The record is from RefSeq and is a predicted model, not a curated record.
AGUGGAGCCACAAGAAGGGACAGCCCAGAGAGAGGGAGAGGAAACCACUGACUUCUGCAAAUAAGUCAGUAAGUGAGCAAAAAGAAAGAAGAAUGGUGAAGUCCUUGCAGCCCGUUGCAGGCAUGAAGAGUACCACCUCUACAUCCCAAAAUUGUUGAAAAACAUCCAGUACCAAACAACUAAGUGAGGAGCUUCAUAAGAAGAAUGUUUUUUUUCUGCAGAAAAUGACCCGAUGCUUUCUCAGUACAACUGUGACCAGUUUGCAGGUCUCCUCUCCUGUUGUAUCUGUGCCUGGUUGCAGGAAGGAAGAGAAGCUUUCUGCUGAUGGUGAUCCAAGGGAUAUUUGCAGCCCCAUUUAAAGCACUGUGUGGGCAUUUGGAUAGUUUGCAGAUCUUGCAAAAGGGAGACCAGGAAUGUGGUUCCAGGAAUAAUCUUCUUUUAUUCCAUCAGAUACAUUCUGCAGCCCAUUCCAUAAAGAUGACAAUAAUAAAAAAGCA